This 253-nucleotide ribosomal RNA is filed under the name uncultured bacterium. Its description in RNAcentral is "partial 16S ribosomal RNA". It matches the Rfam family "Bacterial small subunit ribosomal RNA", at positions 524 to 776 of the family's 1533-position model. The record is from RNAcentral.
GACGUAGGGCGCGAGCGUUGUUCGGAUUUAUUGGGCGUAAAGAGCUCGUAGGCGGUUUGUCGCGUCUGCUGUGAAAACCUGAGGCUCAACCUCGGGCUUGCAGUGGGUACGGGCAGACUAGAGUGCGGUAGGGGUGACUGGAAUUCCUGGUGUAGCGGUGGAAUGCGCAGAUAUCAGGAGGAACACCGAUGGCGAAGGCAGGUCACUGGGCCGCAACUGACGCUGAGGAGCGAAAGCAUGGGGAGCGAACAGG